AUUGAACGCUGGCGGUAUGCUUAACACAUGCAAGUCGAACGGUAGCAGGCCUUCGGGCGCUGACGAGUGGCGGACGGGUGAGUAACGCGUAGGGAAUCUGCCUCAUAGUGGGGGACAACGUGGGGAAACUCACGCUAAUACCGCAUACGCCCUACGGGGGAAAGCGGGGGAUCUUCGGACCUCGCGCUAUGAGAUGAGCCUGCGUUAGAUUAGCUAGUUGGUAGGGUAAAGGCCUACCAAGGCGACGAUCUAUAGCUGGUCUGAGAGGACGAUCAGCCACACUGGGACUGAGACACGGCCCAGACUCCUACGGGAGGCAGCAGUGGGGAAUAUUGGACAAUGGGCGCAAGCCUGAUCCAGCAAUACCGCGUGUGUGAAGAAGGCCUUAGGGUUGUAAAGCACUUCAAUUGGGAGGAAAACCUGUCGGUCAAUACCCGGCAGCUUGACAUUACCUUUAGAAGAAGCACCGGCUAACUCCGUGCCAGCAGCCGCGGU
This 495-nucleotide ribosomal RNA is filed under the name uncultured bacterium. RNAcentral describes it as "bacterial SSU rRNA". It matches the Rfam family "Bacterial small subunit ribosomal RNA", at positions 30 to 521 of the family's 1533-position model. The record is from RNAcentral.